GGGCGGUUUGAGACCAGCCUGGGCAAUAUAGCAACCGUCCUGCUGGCACACAAACCCUCCUGCCUCUAAACAGAAUUUGAUGGGCCCCUUGGCAAAGGCAGGUUUUAGAAACUCCUCGGGGGCUGGAGCGCAAGGAGAGUCUGAGCCAGGCCAAGCCUCCCUGGGGGAACAUGGCUGAAGGAAGACCUACAGACAUCUCCCCUGGGUGGGAGCCUGUGUUCAGAAGCAGCAGAUCCAAGUCUCUGUGUGGCUGAGGAGAGGACAUCCUGCUGGCAACACGGAGAAUGCCAUAUAACAGCUAAGACAGAGAUCAGAGCCAUGCAGCUGCAAGCCGAAGCAGGCCAAGGAUUGCCAGCAAACCAAGAGAGGCUGGAAGAAGAGAGAAGGAUCUUUCCCUGCUGAUUUCACAGGGAGCAUGGCCCUUGAUCUCAGGACCUUGACCCCAGAACUUUCUGGCUGCCAAUACCAAGUUCCUCCUCUCCAUCUCACAUUCAAAGAGCACACAGAGAGGCUCUAAUUGGGUCUUUCUACAUCCUGUGUCCGUACAGAGCUCUCGCGUUUGGGUGGGGACUUUGCACCGUGACCAGUCUAAGAUCAGCACCAGCCCCUGGUCCAAUCAGCUGUGGCCAAGACCCUUGAAGACACAGGCA
Molecule: long non-coding RNA, 650 nt
Organism: Homo sapiens (human)
Lineage: Eukaryota; Metazoa; Chordata; Mammalia; Primates; Hominidae
Product: long intergenic non-protein coding RNA 1039
Source: Ensembl